Ictidomys tridecemlineatus (thirteen-lined ground squirrel) is the source of this 69-nucleotide non-coding RNA. The record is from Rfam. NCBI's taxonomy places the organism in Eukaryota, Metazoa, Chordata, Mammalia, Rodentia, Sciuridae.
GGGGUUGUGGCUCAGCGGUAGAGCGCUCACCUCGCACGUGGGAAACUCUGGGUUCGAUCCUCAGUACCA